CUGGGGGUAGGCUCAGUGGUAGAGCAUGUGCUUAGCAUGUACAAAGCCCUGGGUUCCAACCCCAGCACCAAAA
RNAcentral lists this transfer RNA (73 nucleotides) under Marmota marmota marmota (Alpine marmot). It matches the Rfam family "tRNA". Rfam says of the family: Transfer RNA (tRNA) molecules are approximately 80 nucleotides in length. Their secondary structure includes four short double-helical elements and three loops (D, anti-codon, and T loops). Lineage: Eukaryota; Metazoa; Chordata; Mammalia; Rodentia; Sciuridae. RNAcentral also lists the same sequence under 1 other name. The record is from Rfam by way of RNAcentral.